RNAcentral lists this non-coding RNA (30 nucleotides) under Rattus norvegicus (Norway rat). Lineage: Eukaryota; Metazoa; Chordata; Mammalia; Rodentia; Muridae. The record is from RNAcentral.
UAUAUUGUAUACAACUAUGGUGUCAUUAAG